AAUCAACGCUGGCGGCGUGCCCAACACAUGCAAGUCGAACGCGAAAGCCCCUUCGGGGGCAAGUAGAGUGGCGUCCGGGUGAGUAACACGUAGGUAAUCUACCUUCGGGUGGGGAAUAACCCGCCGAAAGGCGGGCUAAUACCGCAUAAUGCAGCGGCACCUAAUGGUGAUUAGUUGUUAAAGCGGGGGACCCUUCGGGGCCUCGCGCCUGAAGAGGAGCCUGCGGCAGAUUAGCUAGUUGGUGAGGUAAUGGCUCACCAAGGCUUCGAUCUGUAGCUGGUCUGAGAGGACGGCCAGCCACACUGGCACUGACACACGGGCCAGACUCCUACGGGAGGCAGCAGUGGGGAAUUUUGGGCAAUGGGCGAAAGCCUGACCCAGCAACGCCGCGUGAGGGAGGAAAUCCUUCGGGAUGUAAACCUCACAAGCAAGGGAAGAGCGCCACGGGGCGAAUAACCCCGCGGUCCGACGGUACCUUGCGUAAGCCACGGCUAACUACGUGCCAGCAGCCGCGGUAAUAC
This 521-nucleotide ribosomal RNA is filed under the name uncultured bacterium. RNAcentral's name for it is "bacterial SSU rRNA". It matches the Rfam family "Bacterial small subunit ribosomal RNA", at positions 32 to 526 of the family's 1533-position model. The record is from RNAcentral.